Molecule: ribosomal RNA, 599 nt
Filed under: bacterium enrichment culture clone T56x_G10_T3_B11
Lineage: Bacteria
Description: bacterial SSU rRNA
Rfam family: Bacterial small subunit ribosomal RNA
Source: RNAcentral
UCAGAUUGAACGCUGGCGGCAUGCCUUACACAUGCAAGUCGAACGGCAGCACGGGGGCAACCCUGGUGGCGAGUGGCGAACGGGUGAGUAAUACAUCGGAACGUGUCCUGUAGUGGGGGAUAGCCCGGCGAAAGCCGGAUUAAUACCGCAUACGCUCUACGGAGGAAAGGGGGGGAUCUUAGGACCUCCCGCUACAGGGGCGGCCGAAGGCAGAUUAGCUAGUUGGUGGGGUAAAGGCCUACCAAGGCGACGAUCUGUAGCUGGUCUGAGAGGACGACCAGCCACACUGGGACUGAGACACGGCCCAGACUCCUACGGGAGGCAGCAGUGGGGAAUUUUGGACAAUGGGGGAAACCCUGAUCCAGCAAUGCCGCGUGUGUGAAGAAGGCCUUCGGGUUGUAAAGCACUUUUGUCCGGAAAGAAAACGCCGUGGUUAAUACCCGUGGCGGAUGACGGUACCGGAAGAAUAAGCACCGGCUAACUACGUGCCAGCAGCCGCGGUAAUACGUAGGGUGCAAGCGUUAAUCGGAAUUACUGGGCGUAAAGCGUGCGCAGGCGGUCCGCUAAGACAGAUGUGAAAUCCCCGGGCUUAACCUGGG